AUGGGGGACAACAUUCGGAAACGGAUGCUAAUACCGCAUACGCCCUACGGGGGAAAGCGGGGGAUCUUCGGACCUCGCGCUAAUGGAUGAGCCUAAGUCGGAUUAGCUUGUUGGCGAGGUAAUGGCUCACCAAGGCGACGAUCCGUAGCUGGUCUGAGAGGACGAUCAGCCACACUGGGACUGAGACACGGCCCAG
RNAcentral lists this ribosomal RNA (196 nucleotides) under uncultured bacterium. RNAcentral's name for it is "partial 16S ribosomal RNA". It matches the Rfam family "Bacterial small subunit ribosomal RNA", at positions 136 to 334 of the family's 1533-position model. The record is from RNAcentral.